RNAcentral lists this ribosomal RNA (253 nucleotides) under uncultured bacterium. RNAcentral describes it as "partial 16S ribosomal RNA". It matches the Rfam family "Bacterial small subunit ribosomal RNA", at positions 524 to 776 of the family's 1533-position model. The record is from RNAcentral.
GACGGAGGAUGCAAGCGUUAUCCGGAAUGAUUGGGCGUAAAGCGUCCGCAGGUGGCAGUUCAAGUCUGCUGUCAAAGACCGGGGCUUAACUUCGGAAAGGCAGUGGAAACUGAACAGCUAGAGUAUGGUAGGGGCAGAGGGAAUUCCCGGUGUAGCGGUGAAAUGCGUAGAGAUUGGAAAGAACACCGAUGGCGAAGGCACUUUACUAGGCUAUUACUAACACUCAGAGACGAAAGCUAGGGUAGCAAAUGGG